CCUACGGGAGGCAGCAGUAGGGAAUCUUAGACAAUGGGGGCAACCCUGAUCUAGCCAUGCCGCGUGUGUGAUGAAGGCCCUAGGGUCGUAAAGCACUUUCGCCAGAGAUGAUAAUGACAGUAUCUGGUAAAGAAACCCCGGCUAACUCCGUGCCAGCAGCCGCGGUAAUACGGAGGGGGUUAGCGUUGUUCGGAAUUACUGGGCGUAAAGCGCACGUAGGCGGAUUAGUAAGUUAGAGGUGAAAUCCCAGGGCUCAACCCUGGAACUGCCUUUAAUACUGCUAGUCUUGAGUUCGAGAGAGGUAAGUGGAAUUCCGAGUGUAGAGGUGAAAUUCGUAGAUAUUCGGAGGAACACCAGUGGCGAAGGCGGCUCACUGGCUCGAUACUGACGCUGAGGUGCGAAAGUGUGGGGAGCAAACAGGAUUAGAUACCCUGGUAGUCCACACCGUAAACGAUGAAUGCCAGUCGUCGGCAAGUAUACUUGUCGGUGACACACCUAACGGAUUAAGCAUUCCGCCUGGGGAGUACGGUCGCAAGAUUAAAACUCAAAGGAAUUGACGG
This 560-nucleotide ribosomal RNA is filed under the name uncultured bacterium. Its description in RNAcentral is "bacterial SSU rRNA". It matches the Rfam family "Bacterial small subunit ribosomal RNA", at positions 338 to 916 of the family's 1533-position model. The record is from RNAcentral.